UCCGGCGUAGUAAAAUGGUAUUACAUCUGCUUGCCAAGCAGAAAGCGCGAGUUCGAUUCUCGUCGCCGGGAC
This 72-nucleotide transfer RNA is filed under the name Streptomyces phage Annadreamy. RNAcentral's name for it is "tRNA-Gly". It matches the Rfam family "tRNA". Rfam says of the family: Transfer RNA (tRNA) molecules are approximately 80 nucleotides in length. Their secondary structure includes four short double-helical elements and three loops (D, anti-codon, and T loops). Further hydrogen bonds mediate the characteristic L-shaped molecular structure. tRNAs have two regions of fundamental functional importance: the anti-codon, which is responsible for specific mRNA codon recognition, and the 3' end, to which the tRNAs corresponding amino acid is attached (by aminoacyl-tRNA synthetases). tRNAs cope with the degeneracy of the genetic code in two manners: having more than one tRNA (with a specific anti-codon) for a particular amino acid; and 'wobble' base-pairing, i.e. permitting non-standard base-pairing at the 3rd anti-codon position. Lineage: Duplodnaviria; Heunggongvirae; Uroviricota; Caudoviricetes; Stanwilliamsviridae. The record is from RNAcentral. RNAcentral also lists the same sequence under 3 other names.